Molecule: ribosomal RNA, 185 nt
Filed under: Photobacterium jeanii
Lineage: Bacteria; Pseudomonadati; Pseudomonadota; Gammaproteobacteria; Vibrionales; Vibrionaceae
Description: partial 16S ribosomal RNA
Rfam family: Bacterial small subunit ribosomal RNA
Source: RNAcentral
ACUUUAAUUGAAGAGUUUGAUCAUGGCUCAGAUUGAACGCUGGCGGCAGGCCUAACACAUGCAAGUCGAGCGGCAGCGACAUCAACAAUCCUUCGGGUGCGUUGAUGGGCGGCGAGCGGCGGACGGGUGAGUAAUGCCUGGGAAUAUGCCCUGAUGUGGGGGAUAACCAUUGGAAACGAUGGCUA